CUUUAGCCCCGGUCCUCCGCCUCCUGACGCAACAAGCAGCUUAUAAUCAGCCGGCCAGUAAUUAUCAAGGGGAAGCGGCCAUUUCUUCACUGCUGCCCUGAAGGCUUGGUAGGAAACUAGCAUGUAGGCUUUUUUUUUUUUUUUUUUGCAGCUGAGAACUUUAAUGACUUGGGUGGAGGCGCUGAGAUGGUCCGACAGUGGGACGGCGAGGCACCACUUAGCGGCUGCCUCUAAUGGCCCGGACGCCUCCAUCCCUCUCCGCUGCCAAAAGGCUCCGGCUCCGUCAUCCCUCAUGUGGUCGCUCUCUCUCUCUCUAUCAACACACCACACAGGCGGGCGGCGAUGAAAGGAUGAGAAAGAGGGGUGAAAGGUUAAGUGGAGCCGCACACAUCCGGAAGCGCAGCGAAACUAAGCGAGUGCUUAAAAAACCUGCACGUAAGCCCAACAACAAGCUGCACUGUUGCCAUUUUCUGCAAAUCUCCAUUUUCUUUCUCUUUUUCCUUUCCAGGGAAUCUUUGAAGAAGUGAACUCUGCCUCAGCAAGAUGUCGGAUAUUAUUUUGUUCCACAGAAUCCAGCGCAGCCGCAUCACACGGCGACGCACUCAGAGACGAGCGCGGCCCGGGACGAGCGGUUGAGCAUUUACAACAGCGGCUAAUUAGGAUUCCUCUUGCAGAGGCAGGUUGCACACCGCCAGCCGGCGGGAGACUCCCACUUGCAGAUGGUGGGAGAAAGACUGCGGUGAAGAGAUAAUCAAAAUCCCUACGUCGCCCCCGAAUGGCCUUUACAUGUUAAAGUUCAAGACGCGAUGCAUUUUUAAUUAACCCGGCUCUCACUUACUCAGCGUAAGCAAUUGUAAAGUAAUGGAGAGAUUUAUCUCUCCUUCACACGUCUCCUCUGCACCGGUGUGAGGAACAGCUUGAAGGGAUGCAUCCACGAGGCCUCUCCACUGUGUGCUCCUGCAUGUGCGUGUGUGUGUGCAUGGAUACUAAAUCCGUACCUGGGUAGUUGAUUCUACAGCGCUACGUUCCCCGGUGUGCCUGCAAUGCUUGAAAUCAAAGUUUCCUCUAAUUAUUGUUUUUCUUUUUACACUGAUGUGAAGUAAAAAAUUCCCUUAGAUUAAGAAAAGUCACACCGGAGAGCUCUCUGCUCGAAGCGCGGCGGGGAGAAGCACGCUGUGUGAGGUUAAUAAUAGAAUAUAUAUAAAUAUAAUAACAUCCAUAUGGGCGCUGCUCUUGUUUGCGGCUCGCGUGUUGGAAAUAAUUAGCGGCAUUCGACUAAUGAGCUCGUUAGCGGAUCCUUUCCGCUCCUGAAUACUUGAUCUUCAAUAUUUUGUAAUCAAUGGUGGUUUGUGUGUGUUGACUUUGUUUAUGUUGAUGCUUAAAUAACAAUGAGAAAUCUUGAAAAAGUUCACAUCCGGUCCAGAGAGUAGAGUUGAUGUGUUUCUUGUUCUUUAAAGGAAUUAUCAUAAUAAUUGUCUUAUUAAGUCAGCGUGGCAACAUGAUGUCACGUCUGAAACAAUCACAGGACUUUGUUCUUAUUAAGAAACAGCACAUCUUAAAACAGUGAUUUAGAAAUGUUUUUAUAAAUUGAACAAAUUAAUUAGUGAGAGUAAAAACGCAAACUCAUAACUGGGUUCUUUUCCUCUAAUGUGAAAGAUUGUGCGAUAGUGUCUUUUUGAUUAAGUGUCAUUGGUGGCAGCGGUGCAGAGAAAGAAGCAUUGUAUUGAGAAUCAGUAUUUCUUAUUAAACUGUGCUCACUGGAUGGUGAUUUUCAUUUAGACUCGUGGAAUCAUCACAUUACCAUUUGCAUGCUUUUUGCCUGUCGAGAUCAACAGCACUGCGUUCGUUUAAAAGCUUUACGAUGUCGACCUCCUUCCAAAACUGAAAUAAUCAAAGAAUCAACUUUUCCUUUCAAAGAGUAAUCUAGAUGAUAUUGCGUUCCAUCCACCUUUUACAGUCAGACUCAAAACAUCUGGUUUUUCUCCCCAAAAAGCUUAUUUUAUUGCUGAAACAUGAUUUGCAUGUUACACAAGUUUUCACUUGGCUCUAUAUAAGUAAUGAUCUAAUGUUCGGUAUAGUGAUGAAACACACCUGCAGAUUGAAAAGUGUCCUUAGAGGCAAUAAACACAUGUGUCUUCUUUAUAUACA
Non-coding RNA from Gasterosteus aculeatus aculeatus (three-spined stickleback), 2148 nucleotides. NCBI's taxonomy places the organism in Eukaryota, Metazoa, Chordata, Actinopteri, Perciformes, Gasterosteidae. The record is from RefSeq and is a predicted model, not a curated record.